AUCAACUUUCGAUGGUAGGAUAGAGGCCUACCAUGGUGGUAACGGGUAACGGGGUGUUAGGGCACGACACCGGAGAGGGAGCCUGAGAAACGGCUACCACAUCCAAGGAUGGCAGCAGGCGCGCAAAUUACCCAAUCCCGACACGGGGAGGUAGUGACAAUAAAUAACAAUACGGGGUUCUUUCGGAUUUCGUGAUUGGAAUGAGUACAAUUUAAAUCUCUUAACGAGGAACAAUUGGAGGGCAAGUCUGGUGCCAGCAGCCGCGGUAAUUCCAGCUCCAAUAGCGUAUAUUAAAGUUGCUGCAGUUAAAAAGCUCGUAGUUGAAUUUCGGGACCAUCAUGUCGGUCGUGCCUCGGUACGUACUGGUAUUGUUGGUUUUUCCCUUCUGACGAACCAUGAUGUCAUUUAUUUGGUGUUGUGGGGAAUUAGGACUGUUACUUUGAAAAAAUUAGAGUGUUUAAAGCAGGCUCACGCUUGAAUACAUUAGCAUGGAAUAAUGAAAUAGGACGUUUGAUUCUAUUUUGUUGGUUUCUAGAAUCGACGUAAUGAUUAAUAGGGAUAGUUGGGGGCAUUAGUAUUCAAUUGUCAGAGGUGAAAUUCUUGGAUUUAUUGAAGACUAACUACUGCGAAAGCAUUUGCCAAGGAUGUUUUCAUUAAUCAAGAACGAAAGUUAGGGGAUCGAAGACGAUCAGAUACCGUCGUAGUCUUAACCAUAAACUAUGCCGACUAGGGAUCGGAUGAUGUUAAUUUUUUAAUGACUCAUUCGGCGCCUUACGGGAAACCAAAGUGUUUGGGUUC
RNAcentral lists this ribosomal RNA (798 nucleotides) under uncultured Glomus. Its description in RNAcentral is "SSU rRNA". It matches the Rfam family "Eukaryotic small subunit ribosomal RNA", at positions 314 to 1114 of the family's 1831-position model. Lineage: Eukaryota; Fungi; Glomeromycota; Glomeromycetes; Glomerales; Glomeraceae. The record is from RNAcentral.